CCUUCCUUGUGGAGUUUCUGUUGUGAGCCUAGAUCUUCAGAGAUGGCCUCACUCCAGAAUCAGGAUGCUAAAAUCAGCCCUGUGUUACAAGAUGAUGUGCUUCUCCUGCUGCACCACUGGUGACUUCAAACAGCCAUCUGAAAACCUACCUCAGAACACCAUUCUAAAUAGCAACUGGUUUUUAAUUGAUGUCUGCCAAAAGAAGAGGAGUUUAACGC
Lagopus leucura (white-tailed ptarmigan) is the source of this 218-nucleotide long non-coding RNA. RefSeq lists it as uncharacterized. The record is from RefSeq and is a predicted model, not a curated record. Lineage: Eukaryota; Metazoa; Chordata; Aves; Galliformes; Phasianidae. The transcript has 3 exons.